UACGUAGGCGGAAUAUUAAGUCAGUGGUGAAAUCCUGCGGCUCAACCGUAGAACUGCCAUUGAUACUGAUAUUCUUGAAUGUAGUUGAGGUAGGCGGAAUGUGUAAUGUAGCGGUGAAAUGCUUAGAUAUUACACAGAACACCGAUUGCGAAGGCAGCUUACUAACUAUGAUUGACGCUGAUGUACGAAAGCGUGGGGAGCGAACAGGAUUAGAUACCCUGGUAGUCC
RNAcentral lists this ribosomal RNA (228 nucleotides) under uncultured bacterium. RNAcentral's name for it is "partial 16S ribosomal RNA". It matches the Rfam family "Bacterial small subunit ribosomal RNA", at positions 568 to 796 of the family's 1533-position model. The record is from RNAcentral.